GAGAGUCACCCCCGAGAGCGAGCAGCCAGCUGGGAAGCAAAGGGCAGACUUAGGAGGGGCCAUCUCAGAGGAGGACUCAAGGACUGCAGCAGCGUGAGCUAUGGGCCCAGAAGGAAGGCUGUGAUACUCCAGACCAAGGAGGGGAAACUGAGUGGUCAGCUUGCCGCUGCCUUGAUUAAUCCAUUGAUGGUAAAAGGGUUUGAAGACAAAAGAAGAAAUAAUGCUCACUCGUGUGUGUCGAAAAGAAAAUUACCGAUAUAAUCUCCCCGGGUUUGGAGAAGAAAUCUAAAUCGAACCUGCCAAGAUCAGAAAGAGACCCCUUACCUGUUGGACGAAGCGCGUGGAGGAGGAAGGGUUGGGAAGCCUAAGGAAGAGGCCUGCUGGAGCCCUGUUCAGUGUUGUCCAACCAAAGUUUCUUCAUGCAAUCAGAAAUGAAAGCUUCCUGCUCAGUCCGCAGUCCCACUGCUCCCCCACGGCGCAGCAGGGGCUGAUCAACACCCCCGCUUCACUGAAGAGUGCUGCAGGAACCCAGUGGUCCUAGUUGUGAUCUCGCUCCCAGUCCAGGCGGUUUCAUGCCUUGCCUGAGUGUGGCCGCCUUGCUCAGGGAUGCUGCAUCUCAGCCAGCACUGGCAAGACUGAUGAAGAUCUCCCCAGCGCUUACACUAAACCCUGACGACAUGAAGGGAGUAGGGGGAGGAGGCACUGGCGGAAUCAUCUAGUUAGUGAUGGCGGUGGGGGGUGCUCGGGGUCUGGGGACAGAGGGUUCAUUUUACAAAUAGAUCCGCUAACUCUGGCUUCAGUCAGGCUCCUCUUCUGUGGGGAGCUAAUGGAGCCACUUCCCCAGAUUGUAAAGCACCAGAGCAUCAUGAUUUAUUCACCAGCCCUUCCAGGGCACAGCUCAUCUGGAGCAGGAGCAUCUUAUGUACGAGAGUGCUUGGGGGAAGCACGGGGAAUGGAAGCAAAUGUCCGGGAACUUAAAAUAAAGGGGAAGGGGCUACAAUGCGCAUGCACAUGCGCGCACACACACGCAAUCUCUUCCUCUGGCACACACUGACACACAGACAAAGAUACAAUCUCUCCCUGUGGGGGGACACACAGAUAGAAUCUCUCCUCCUGGACACUGACACAAGCACACAGAUACAAUCUGUUCCUGUGGACAUAUGCUCUCUCUCUCCCCCUCUGGACAGAUUCCAUUUGUCAUCGUGUGAGUUAAUUCCCUCAGGCUUGGGAGUCCGUUAUGUCCAUCAGUGGUAUUAUUAUUUAGUGUCUGUAUUGCAGUGGCACCCAGCCAGGAAUGGGGCUCCCGUUCUUUGUGCUAGGAGCUGUGCACACACGUCUGGUUCUGAUCCAGCAUGGGAAUUCGUACGUUCCUCUGUGUGUGUGUGUGUGGGUCCAGUUCACUUUCUGCCUGUUGGGUUAUGAGAUUGAAAUUUGCAAAGAAAUAGCAGAAGCUUGUUCUGGGCGCCGGGGAGUGGGCGGGAUGGGUCAUUAGAUCUGAUGUUUUAGGACAUUUGAGCUUGUAGCAAAGCUGAAGCUACCACAGCAGGGCAGGAGGGAAUGUGCAUCGACCACUAGGGUGUGCAUGAGUCAACCGAAAAGCUGGCCUUGGUUAAGGGAAGGACCAGAGCCCACAAGCCGUCUCACGUUCUGUAUAGCAGGGAUUAUCGAUUCAUCUUUAUCGGGCCAUCUGCGCACAAAGGAGGCUCCAGAUUAGAAACCAACACUGAGCCUGUGAGGCCAGGGGGAGUUAAUUUACAAACCUGCGGUUCAUUUUUAGAGCUGUAAAAAACCAACAGAUUUCUGGCAGGGUCGGAGCUUGAAGGGCUGGAUACAGAAUUCCAGGGGAGCGGUGAAACGUAUGGGGUGUGUGUGUGUGUGUGUGUGUGGGCAAGAGGGGGCGCUCUUUCCGCUGACCCCGGGAGCUUUCCUAGCAGGCUUUUGACUGACACGGCAACUUCUGUGUCUUUCAAACAUGCCCCUUGCGCCCGCUUCUGCCGUGGGAAUCCAAGGCUGGAAACUCAAGGCAGGUCUAAAGAACCAUGGGAGGGGAAUUCCCCUCUGUGCAGAGGGACAGGAAUAGCCCUGGGCACCCCCGGUCCAUCUAAGGGUCCGAUUGGUCCCCAAGGCCUGCCUCCAUCGCCAACUUGUUACGUUUUCCAAUGAGCACCUUCCUGCUUUCUCCCCUGCUGCCCCUCACUCCCCUAGUCGUCCACAGAGCUACCUCCUACCCCUGCUUCAAACUCUCCUCUGCUAGGAUGCCAAGAACAGACUCGACAAUGGUCAUGCAGCUGCUGUGCAGAGCAGGGGUGC
Molecule: long non-coding RNA, 2310 nt
Organism: Dermochelys coriacea (leatherback sea turtle)
Lineage: Eukaryota; Metazoa; Chordata; Testudines; Dermochelyidae
Exons: 4
Source: RefSeq, a predicted model, not a curated record